AUUGAACGCUGGCGGCAUGCCUUACACAUGCAAGUCGAACGGCAGCGCGGGGCAACCUGGCGGCGAGUGGCGAACGGGUGAGUAAUAUAUCGGAACGUACCCUGGAGUGGGGGAUAACGUAGCGAAAGUUACGCUAAUACCGCAUACGAUCUAAGGAUGAAAGUGGGGGAUCGCAAGACCUCAUGCUCUUGGAGCGGCCGAUAUCUGAUUAGCUAGUUGGUGGGGUAAAGGCCUACCAAGGCAUCGAUCAGUAGCUGGUCUGAGAGGACGACCAGCCACACUGGAACUGAGACACGGUCCAGACUCCUACGGGAGGCAGCAGUGGGGAAUUUUGGACAAUGGGCGCAAGCCUGAUCCAGCAAUGCCGCGUGAGUGAAGAAGGCCUCGGGUUGUAAAGCUCUUUUGUCAGGGAAGAAAACGGUGAGGGCUAAUAUCCCCUUGCUAAUGACGGUACCUGAAGAAUAAGCACCGGCUAACUACGUGCCAGCAGCCGCGGUAAUACGUAGGGUGCAAGCGUUAAUCGGAAUUACUGGGCGUAAAGCGUGCGCAGGCGGUUUUGUAAGUCUGUCGUGAAAUCCCCGGGCUCAACCUGGGGAAUUGCGAUGGAGACUGCAAGGCUAGAAUCUGGCAGAGGGGGGUAGAAUUCCACGUGUAGCAGUGAAAUGCGUAGAGAUGUGGAGGAACACCGAUGGCGAAGGCAGCCCCUGGGUCAAGAUUGACGCUCAUGCACGAAAGCGUGGGGAGCAAACAGGAUUAGAUACCCUGGUAGU
RNAcentral lists this ribosomal RNA (770 nucleotides) under uncultured bacterium. RNAcentral's name for it is "bacterial SSU rRNA". It matches the Rfam family "Bacterial small subunit ribosomal RNA", at positions 28 to 794 of the family's 1533-position model. The record is from RNAcentral.